RNAcentral lists this transfer RNA (75 nucleotides) under Planctomycetes bacterium GWA2_50_13. RNAcentral's name for it is "tRNA-Gly". It matches the Rfam family "tRNA". Rfam says of the family: Transfer RNA (tRNA) molecules are approximately 80 nucleotides in length. Their secondary structure includes four short double-helical elements and three loops (D, anti-codon, and T loops). Lineage: Bacteria; Pseudomonadati; Planctomycetota. The record is from RNAcentral. RNAcentral also lists the same sequence under 5 other names.
GCGGGUGUAGCUCAGUGGUAGAGCGUCACGUUGCCAACGUGAAUGUCGUGGGUUCGACCCCCAUCACCCGCUCCA